CGACAUCUGCUCCCAUCUAAGUGGAUGAUCAUCGCAAAAGAAAACACACACAAACAAGGCACAACACAAGCAAGGGUGAGCUAAUUAUAUAAAAAGCAUACAAUAUAAUAGUAUGUGCACAAAAGAGUUAACUUCAAUCAAGCAAGAUGAACACGUAUCCUAACAUGUUAUAUUCUAGACUAGACUCGUCCAGACUUUAGAAUGAUAGUCGAGUUAUGGCUGGUCAUGCACCCGUGGUGACUUAUGAUACUUGGGUUUCCCACCUUGCCACACUCACGAGGUUAGCCUGUUUCGGUCCUUGAGGCAUACUGACAGCUCCCAAGACUAAGACCUCCUUCUACUACUCACUACAUGGUUCAAUCCUCUCUACAUGAGAAGAAAGACCAUUGGAGCAUCAAGAAGACCCCUAAGACUGAGCUCCUACUUUCAUUCUAAACACUAAGAAUCUCA
RNAcentral lists this long non-coding RNA (450 nucleotides) under Vigna radiata. RNAcentral's name for it is "long non-coding RNA (VRAD_LNC011101)". The record is from RNAcentral. Lineage: Eukaryota; Viridiplantae; Streptophyta; Magnoliopsida; Fabales; Fabaceae.